GAUACUGAAACUGAGGCUCAGAAGAGUUGCUUGCUCAAGGUCUCAGUGUGUAGGUCAAAGGACAAGCUAUGGAGCAAUUUUUACUUGAUGCCAAAGUUCAUUUGUGCUACACUGUCACCUCUUAUAUUCUCAUUUUAAAGCUAUUUUAAGUGAGUUGUAAAUAAUAAGAAGAUUUAGUAAGAAGAGAGAUCAAUUCUGUUUUUAGUUCUAGCAUCAGUCCCUAAACCCUUCCCAGUCACUUCUGCCCUUUUUUAUCAUGCAUUUUAUUUUAAUCAUUGAUCUGUACAGUCAUUUCAUAUUCCUCUUUUUUUCUGUACACUUAUUUUUAUGUCAUCUUUUCUACUGGGUUUCUUUAUAUAUUAGAAAAUGGCUAUAUACUUAUACAAAUGUGGCUAUGUGCAAGGAUUGGCGUCCAGUGUGAGAAUAGAAGAUUAGGUUUAGAUAACAGGAGAAAACAUAAGCAAAGGUAUGCCUGGAGACUGUUAGUACAUGUUUCUAUACAUUGAAGUUAGGCAAGACCACACCUUGUUCCAGUUGCAAAAAUCCGUAUUCAUGAUUGCCAUAACCUGAAAACCUUGCCUUGGCUCAGUUCAAUGACUCAACAAGUAGGUUUGCGUGCGUUUGUUUAUUUGACAAUGUUCACUUGUACCCAGUGGAUCUCCAAAACCUAUGUGAAUAUUAGAUUUUAAUAUUUUCAACAGAAAAAAAUAUGUCACUAAGCAUGAUUCUUUGCUAGUAUGCAACUUUGCAGAAAGAACUAUCCAAGUUUUCAAAGUAUACUUUGGCAAUGAGGUGUGGUGGGAGGAGGAUGAAGGCAGCUGCACCAACAUGUCUGUCAAAGGACACCAGUUAUGGAAUGGAAAUCAAGUCUCAUGAGUGAUUGAGUCCCACCCUGCUGCUUACACUCACUGAGCACUUCCUGCAUUUUAGGUGUUCUGCUGUGAAGUGAGGAUGCAAAACUGAGCACCACAUGGGUCUUAUCCUCACUGAGAUCAUAGUUUAGAGGCCAGCUAAUUUUUAAUCACUGCGAGCAAGAUGGCAAAUUCUAGACAGAAAGAGGUGUGUACAGCACAGUAGGCAUGGAGCUUUGUAAGGAUCCCAGUCAUUGCCAGCCUGCCUGGACUGCCAGGUCCCUUCUGCACAACUAAGAAGCCAACCAGUGACUUCUCUGAUGUGCAGAGAAGGACAGAGCAUGAUUGUUUGUCCACUUUUACCCAAGUUUCUUGUCUUCUGAUCCAGGGAAUAGGUAAAUAGGUAUGUGGUAAGUGGGGAAGAAUGGGUUUUGGAGAUGGGCAUUUAAGUGGUUUUAAAUCUUUUGUCAUGGUAAAAAAAAUACUGCAGUAUAAAAGCUUUGAAUAUAAGUCAUUUUAUUUAUGUAGGAGUAUAUGUGUGAAGGAUAAGUUCCAAUAAGCGAAGCUGUCAGGAAAAAGGAUGUGCACAUUUAUAAUUUUGACAUCCAGGAUGGCGAAAAAGUGGGUCUACAGUUGUGAGUAUGUGAAACACAGACAUAAUUCUUGUAUUAUUAAUUAAUUAUUAUAUUAUUUUCCAUCCAAACAAUUGUAAACCUACUUUUGACCCCAUCCUGUAUAUUGCCAAACUAUUCUAAGAAAUUAUCCAAGUUUGCACUCCUACCUGCAAUUAUGAAAGGGUCUAUUUCCAUACAAUCUUGCCAAUGAAGAUUUAUUACACUUUUUGGUAGAUGCCAAUUUGAUAUGUGAAAGCAGUAUCUCGUAGCAGUUUAAUUUUCACUGAUUGUAUGAUGAGUGCAGUGGGGAUACAUGCGAAAUAUAGAAGAACUAUUUGUCUUUUGUUUUCUGUGAACUACCUGUGAAUAUCCCUUUCCAUAGAAUUAAUGAUUUUUUUGUUUGCCUACUUAUUAGCAGCAGUUUUUUUUAAUUAGGAAAAUUUAUUUUUUUAUGUGUGAUACAGCAUACCUUUGGGUUUACAUUCAUGUUCCCACUUCUGUAUUAAACACAUAAACAAAACAUCAUUUCUGAUGAUAAUCUCUUCAAAACUUGUAAAUCUUUUGCCUUAUUUCUCUAUUUCCAUGUAUGAUACUGACUUUUGGUUCUGUCCCAAUAAAGUCAUUUCUUCCUUGUAA
Phyllostomus discolor (pale spear-nosed bat) is the source of this 2101-nucleotide long non-coding RNA. RefSeq lists it as uncharacterized. The record is from RefSeq and is a predicted model, not a curated record. Lineage: Eukaryota; Metazoa; Chordata; Mammalia; Chiroptera; Phyllostomidae. The transcript has 2 exons.